GAGGGAAUCGCUCAGUGGUAGAGCGCGUGCUUAGCAUGCACAAGGUCCCGGGUUCAAUCCCCAGUACCCCCG
This 72-nucleotide transfer RNA is filed under the name Camelus bactrianus (Bactrian camel). It matches the Rfam family "tRNA". From Rfam's summary of the family: Transfer RNA (tRNA) molecules are approximately 80 nucleotides in length. Their secondary structure includes four short double-helical elements and three loops (D, anti-codon, and T loops). The record is from Rfam by way of RNAcentral. Lineage: Eukaryota; Metazoa; Chordata; Mammalia; Artiodactyla; Camelidae. RNAcentral also lists the same sequence under 1 other name.